AACGAACGCUGGCGGCAUGCCUAACACAUGCAAGUCGAACGAGACCUUCGGGUCUAGUGGCGCACGGGUGCGUAACGCGUGGGAACCUGCCCUUAGGUUCGGAAUAACUCCCCGAAAGGGGUGCUAAUACCGGAUAAUGUCUUCGGACCAAAGAUUUAUCGCCUUUGGAUGGGCCCGCGUUGGAUUAGCUAGUUGGUAGGGUAAAAGCCUACCAAGGCGACGAUCCAUAGCUGGUCUGAGAGGAUGAUCAGCCACACUGGGACUGAGACACGGCCCAGACUCCUACGGGAGGCAGCAGUGGGGAAUAUUGGACAAUGGGCGAAAGACUGAUCCAGCAAGGCCGCGUGAGUGAUGAAGGCCUUAGGGUUGUAAAGCUCUUUUACCCGGGAUGAUAAUGACAGUACCGGGAGAAUAAGCUCCGGCUAACUCCGUG
Molecule: ribosomal RNA, 433 nt
Filed under: uncultured bacterium
Lineage: Bacteria
Description: partial 16S ribosomal RNA
Rfam family: Bacterial small subunit ribosomal RNA
Source: RNAcentral